This 254-nucleotide ribosomal RNA is filed under the name uncultured bacterium. Its description in RNAcentral is "partial 16S ribosomal RNA". It matches the Rfam family "Bacterial small subunit ribosomal RNA", at positions 524 to 776 of the family's 1533-position model. The record is from RNAcentral.
CACGUAGGGGGCAAGCGUUGUCCGGAUUCAUUGGGCGUAAAGAGCUCGUAGGCGGUUCGAUAAGUCGGGUGUGAAACCUCCAGGCUCAACCUGGAGACGCCACCCGAUACUGUCGUGACUAGAGUCCAGUAGGGGAGCGUGGAAGUCCUGGUGUAGCGGUGAAAUGCGCAGAUAUCAGGAGGAACACCAGCGGCGAAGGCGGCGCUCUGGGCUGGAACUGACGCUGAGGAGCGAAAGCGUGGGGAGCGAACAGG